GCUUACGGCCAUACCACCUUAGGCACGCCCGAUCUCGUCUGAUUUCGGAAGCUAAGCAGGGUCGGGCCUGGUUAGUACUUGGAUGGGUGACCGCCUGGGAAUACCAGGUGCUGUAAGCA
Molecule: ribosomal RNA, 119 nt
Filed under: Gadus morhua (Atlantic cod)
Lineage: Eukaryota; Metazoa; Chordata; Actinopteri; Gadiformes; Gadidae
Source: RNAcentral